RNA transcript from Rhagoletis pomonella (apple maggot), 2236 nucleotides. It is a transcript of the gene named transcription elongation factor 1 homolog, with no coding region annotated. NCBI's taxonomy places the organism in Eukaryota, Metazoa, Arthropoda, Insecta, Diptera, Tephritidae. The record is from RefSeq and is a predicted model, not a curated record. The transcript has 2 exons.
UUGUGUACCUAAAAUUCAGCACAUAACUAAUUCCUAUUUGUAAAAAGGAAAGUUGCACUUAUAGUGAUGUCUCCUUUCUAGUCGGCUUAAUAGAACUACAUUUAACUGAACGAGAUGGGUCGCAGAAAAUCGAAAAGAAAACCUCCACCAAAAAAGAAAAAUAUUGAGCCGUUGGACCAGCAGUUUAAUUGCCCCUUCUGUAAUCAUGAAAAGUCCUGUGAAGUAAAAAUUGCAGUUUUAGCGGAACCUGCCCAAAAAUCAUCCAAAAAAGUUGGGAGGGCUACCGCGUGUCAACCCUCAUAAUAAUCUGCAAGCGGAAAUUAACUUUUUUAAUUCAUUCCAAAGUUGUUUGUAAAAAACAUUGCGUUCGUUUUGAUGAAUUUCAAAUAAUUGUGGUAAUUCUGCGGGGUACAACUGCGGAACAAGUGAAGUAUAGCGGCCGUUGAGGGAAAAUAUAAAUAAAAAGUAUAUAAAUAAAAAGUAAGCGUGGACCGCACCGUUUUACUGAUUUUAAUCAAGGCGGAUUUAUGGAAGGGGAUGUUACUGGCGAAUUUAGAUUAGAACAACAACAACCACAUGUAUUUUGUAUUGCUGGUGUCAUGGUUUUUUUUUUUUUGGUUUUGGAUUUGGAUUUGGAAAAGGAAAUGAGUUCGGUGGACGGUACUGAACCACCGAUAAACUUAAAAUGAAAUGAAUGAAAUUUUGUUAACGUUAAAAUUUGAUUUCGGCUUUUUGAAAGAAUUUGGUAAGUUGAGUGAUUUUGCUGUAGUUGAGAUCGUGAAGGAUAUCGUGGAAGUUGCCAUUAUCUCUGAAGAUAUCGAGGCCCUCCCGAGCGCUAUUUAAAAAGGAGCAGUGGAAGGUUUGAUGUAUAUAACUGUAUUGCAUACCACAUCUACAUAUGUUUGAGUUUCUGGCUUUGAUUCUAUAAAGAUAUUCGCUGUCAUAAGUACAGCCGGUGAAAAUGCGAUUGAUUAUUUUGGUGUCUUUGGCAUCUAAGUGGCCAUCAUGAAACCAGGUUUUCUUGGAUUUGAAGGGGAAAAUCUGCGAAAAAAGAUUUGGUUUAAGGGAAGAGUACGCUAGAAAUUCUUCAUACCAUCUUUGGUAAAUUUCAUUUUUGAUGUUUCUUAGGGCCUCCUCAUUAGUGAGUUUAACAUGUAUUUCUUCAUCCAGAUUGAGUGCAUCUUUGGCUAGCUCAUCAGCUGUCUCAUUGCCAGGAACCCCCUUGUGGCUUGGUGUCCAUAUUAAGGUCACCCUGUCAUAAUCUGUCUCUAGUAUAGUAUUAUGAAUAUCGCUGAUAAUAUAAUCAUGAUACAAAAAAGAAGGUAGUUCCAUUGUCACUUUUUCGUCGCCAUAUUAACAACCUGACAAUUAAGUAGAUUGUGACAUUUCGUGCUACCGUAUGCAAUAUCUAAAAUACUCUAAAUUUUAUUAUUAAUUUUUUAUUUAUUUACAAACAUUUUAUUCUUAAAAUCGAAACUUGAACUAGCAAAAGGUAUUUUGUUAUUUGUACAAUAAUUUUGGGUUGUUGUGUCACAAAACUUAACCCAAAGCAAAAAAUUUUAACACACACGUGUUGUCAAACAAUUAAACGUAAGUUUAAAAUAAAAAUUUCAAGUUUUCAGAUACAAAUUUAUGAAUAAAUUCGGUUUGAAUUAUGGACCUUCUUGUAAAAAAUACUGUGGUCAGCGUAGCCGGAGUUGGACUGAUGAGAGUUAUUUUUCUAAGCGCUGCCGAAAUUUUACCCAAUUUGUCAAUGGGUCCGUCCCUCCGUCUCCGCUCCCCAUCCCAAAACCAUUGCACAAAUAACCGAACUUUUUCCCUUUUGUAUUUGAAAGAGCAUGCUCAAUAAGUUGAUAAUUGUGUUUCUAGUUUUCAUACUAACAAUAAAUCAAAUUUUGUUUCACACCAACUCCAAUAUUGAGUAAAAUAUAUUUUAAUUUUAUCCAAAGAAACAACGAUAUUGGCGAAAUAUACUAGAAUUGGAUAAUACUCACUUCUCUGAAAGUCAUGACGCCUACGGGUCCCAAAGUAAAUUCAGUUUUCACGUUACUUGAAAGACAUGGACAAAGAAAAUAUCGAAAUUAUAUCAGAAACAAUCGUAUCCGAUAUAGAAAACUGUAGUAGUCCUGACUAGCUACAUUGUGUAAUAAUCAGAUGACAUAAUGACACUAAACAAUUUUAAAAUAUGUUCACUAACUACUACUUUUAUUAAUGUAAAAAUAAAGAUUUUGGCAAG